RNAcentral lists this ribosomal RNA (914 nucleotides) under Bacillus pumilus. Its description in RNAcentral is "bacterial SSU rRNA". It matches the Rfam family "Bacterial small subunit ribosomal RNA", at positions 61 to 957 of the family's 1533-position model. The record is from RNAcentral. Lineage: Bacteria; Bacillati; Bacillota; Bacilli; Caryophanales; Bacillaceae.
GUCGAGCGGACAGAAGGGAGCUUGCUCCCGGAUGUUAGCGGCGGACGGGUGAGUAACACGUGGGUAACCUGCCUGUAAGACUGGGAUAACUCCGGGAAACCGGAGCUAAUACCGGAUAGUUCCUUGAACCGCAUGGUUCAAGGAUGAAAGACGGUUUCGGCUGUCACUUACAGAUGGACCCGCGGCGCAUUAGCUAGUUGGUGGGGUAAUGGCUCACCAAGGCGACGAUGCGUAGCCGACCUGAGAGGGUGAUCGGCCACACUGGGACUGAGACACGGCCCAGACUCCUACGGGAGGCAGCAGUAGGGAAUCUUCCGCAAUGGACGAAAGUCUGACGGAGCAACGCCGCGUGAGUGAUGAAGGUUUUCGGAUCGUAAAGCUCUGUUGUUAGGGAAGAACAAGUGCGAGAGUAACUGCUCGCACCUUGACGGUACCUAACCAGAAAGCCACGGCUAACUACGUGCCAGCAGCCGCGGUAAUACGUAGGUGGCAAGCGUUGUCCGGAAUUAUUGGGCGUAAAGGGCUCGCAGGCGGUUUCUUAAGUCUGAUGUGAAAGCCCCCGGCUCAACCGGGGAGGGUCAUUGGAAACUGGGAAACUUGAGUGCAGAAGAGGAGAGUGGAAUUCCACGUGUAGCGGUGAAAUGCGUAGAGAUGUGGAGGAACACCAGUGGCGAAGGCGACUCUCUGGUCUGUAACUGACGCUGAGGAGCGAAAGCGUGGGGAGCGAACAGGAUUAGAUACCCUGGUAGUCCACGCCGUAAACGAUGAGUGCUAAGUGUUAGGGGGUUUCCGCCCCUUAGUGCUGCAGCUAACGCAUUAAGCACUCCGCCUGGGGAGUACGGUCGCAAGACUGAAACUCAAAGGAAUUGACGGGGGCCCGCACAAGCGGUGGAGCAUGUGGUUUAAUUCGAAGC